GCAGAGAAAAGGGAUAGAGCGAGGCGAUGGUGACAGAAGAAUAGAGGAUAGGAGGCCGGGCGUGGCCUGGCUCCAGGAGAUAGGAGACGCACCCCCUGUAAUUUGUCAGUUGGUUGAUUUCGAUUGGGCGGCCGGCGGGUGUGGCCCCGGGGCUGCCAACUCCGCAGCCUUGUUUACCAGCGGCUGGCCGCGCCCGGCCCCAGGGACUCCAGGGCUCCAGACGGCUGGACAAGAGGUUUCCACCAGCAGUUGCUGGACAGGAGUUUCAGAAAAACAAAUAUUGUCGCCCCAGACAACAAAGCAUAGUCCCGAAAACGUCCCGGGUACAUCACGGCUGGGAUGUCGUAUUUUAGAGACGGAGCAAAAGAUCAGCACCUACCACAAGUACGUCCUGUGUAGGGGAUGACGUCCCAGGAGCGGCUCUCAGCCUGGCCGGCGCAGCGGUGGUCACGGAUCCCCAGCUGAUAACAUCGGAGUAUUGCAGUCAACUGUGAACGUGUGAACCGAAGGCGCUGCUGUACGCUUCCUGGAGGUUGCGACCCGUUCGCGUGGACGACCCCGGGCCGACCUCUCCGGUCUCAGCCUCUCAUCGGGGCCUGUGUCUUGCUGCCGGUGCUGCUGCUGCGGACCCUGCUGACCUUAAUGUCCACUUAGUAUGCAACGCACUCCAGAUCAACCAAAGAGAGAGACCCUGUUGAUCGACGGGGACAGCGAGCGACCGAGCGUGGCGGGGCCGUGCGGGACCCUCAGCGACGCGCGCUGAAAAAGUAAAGGAAGGUAAACAAAGUAGGGGGUCACUGUCUGUCAGACGAGGGUGGGAUGUACAAAAAAUAAACCACUGUGCAAAAGAGAAAACAAGAGAGAAAAAUAAGUGAAAAGGGGGAGCGCGCGUGCAGUUUAAGCUUUUUCAAAUAUUUGCAACGCAAGCGACCGCAGUGCUGCUCAAUUAUUGUGAAAGCAACAAAAUGAGUCGCCACGGCGCGCAGCGUGUCUCGAUCGGCCGUGUGAUGGAGCUGGUGCGCUCAUCACACACAUGAUAGAGUUGAACGACCUGUGUCCGCGCGUGCACUGAUAAAUAAAAUGUCCAACUGGCGUGCACAUGCACAUGCACAUGCAUGUUUAAAAUAUAAAUCUUGUAUUUCAAGACCCGGUCUUGUAUCUAAUGGAAAACGCCUUCGGCAUCCAAGCAGACCAGGUCAUCCAAUACAAGAAUCUAUUUUUUACCGUGCACACUUUAAAGAAGUGUUUGACAGGAUAUUUGAAUACUUUAAUGAGGACAAAUUUUCAUUGCCAACCCUGAUGAUGAACACUUUUAAACGUUCAACUUUACUAUUAAACACUUCAUAGUAUUCAAACACCC
Molecule: long non-coding RNA, 1360 nt
Organism: Frankliniella occidentalis (western flower thrips)
Lineage: Eukaryota; Metazoa; Arthropoda; Insecta; Thysanoptera; Thripidae
Exons: 4
Source: RefSeq, a predicted model, not a curated record